This is a long non-coding RNA of Equus caballus (horse), 2478 nucleotides long. The record is from Ensembl. NCBI's taxonomy places the organism in Eukaryota, Metazoa, Chordata, Mammalia, Perissodactyla, Equidae.
AUUUUUCAGAACCUUUUCCAGUAGUAUACCAGUCUACACUCUAUCAUGGAGAGGUCCUCAGGCAAGAUUUGGAAGCUGCCCCAAAUUGCAGAAGCCAUCAUUCUCCUGGAAGUAGGGGGCGAAGUCAGGGCUUCUGCCGACCUCGAGUUUUGCGGUGGCCUCUGCAGGGGAGGGUGGGUCUCCUUGCUGCUGGCAGCUACGACCAUUCACAGCGCUUUCCAGCUACUCCUGGCCUGAGCGUCAGUAGCAACUUCCUGAUUCUGUGGAGGAAACCUGAGAGAUUUGGUGGCUGUUUACAUUGUGCCUGCGUGCAAGACCUGACCUAUCAUUUGCUCUUUCUUUUGGGGAUUUUAAUGUGUCCAUCUUCGCUCUCUGAUUUCAUUUCCUGGGAUCCUCAUCUUCCAAAUAAAUGCUGCAUUAUCAAGCAAGUAACCCUGUGGGCAAUCAGGGCUUAAAGCCAUCCGAGAACCCUGGACACCAACACAGACCACGUGACCUGGGAUCGUCCCACCCGAGUAGUGAGGCUGCAGACCCUCAGGCCCUUCAGAUCCACAGCAGGCUCCAGGGUCAGGAAUAGCCCUUGGCUGGAGAAGGGAAGAGGUUUGCAGUCACCACAGGCACUGCAAUGGGAAGGCCUGUGGGGGCACUGACAGCAUCUGCAGCAGUGAAUUACUGGGGUCCUUAUCACUGCAGGAAACUGGGGCUAGAAGUUUCUGGAACCCUCAGAGUAGCUGCAUAGAAUGUGCUGCACAAGGCAUGGAAUAGGGGCGUAUAAUUCUACAAUAUUCCAUUACCCUUUGGCCACAUGGUAACUAGCUUGCAAUUCCCGAUCCAUACCUGAGCCAGAAUGGAGAAGUGGGCUCCCACAGGUAUUCAUGCGGCAGCAACCAAGACAUCCUGGGGCAGAAAGCAAGACUGAUGAGCAACUGAGAUGGGAUGUUAGACUACACGCGCAUAAUUCUGAAGCAACUCUGGAGCAAAAAGUUAGGCCAAGAGGGUAUGACACGGGGCCUCAAAGAUAAAUCCACACUCCAACGUUUACAUCUUUCUAAGUCCUUGGAUUCUUUCCUCUAAGUUUUAUUAAACAGGUUCUGGUACCUUGACUUCAACUUAAUAUAGGCCAACAUUGAACUUGCAUUUAAACCAACAGCUCAUUUACACCUAGCUGCUUAAGACAACGCGUUAAAUCUGAACCUUUCUAAAAACAAUGAGAAAUUGCAGUUUAACACCAGAACUUCCUGUGUAAACACAAACAAUUUGAGGUAAAAAAAGUAUGGAUUUUUGUCCAUAAUAUGGGCUAAUCUGUAGCCAACUGGCCCAGACACUUCAUUAACAACUAACAUUUAGGAAAAAUGAGGGAAACAUUUGAGACAAAAAGAGAUGAGAGAGAGAAGCACUCCUGCAAUGCCUGAGGAACCAUCUCUGAAAAUUCACUUCUCCAUAAAAGCAGCGAGGACACUGGCAAGAUUUGUCAAGAUCAACUUUUUAAGAACUCUUGAAAUCAGCCAGAGGCUUGCAACAACCUGGGGAGCAUUUUUUCAAGAGAAAUGGCUCAAUCUCAGUUGUAAUGGUGCAUUGGUGCAUUUUAACUUGCCCUAUUCCCAUCCCCCUUUCCUCAGCCUCAUGGGAGUCUUAAACACUGCAAAACCUUACUACUGUGGUAGCUGCAAGAACCAGCAGCCUGGGAGCCACUGGAAGGAAGAGAACUGUUUGGAUCUCCCCCAAAACCCCAUCCACAGAGAAUUUUCACUAUUUGGCCUGAAAAGCUCUAUUCUCAGGACUAAUUGUGAUCAGUCCUAUUCCAGGGUGUUUGUUGAAAACAAUUAGAGGCAAUUGUUUAAUGUAGAUGUCUAAGGCAGCAUUACCAGUUGGGGAUAACAAAGGCUAACCCAAGUUCCAACAUAUUCCGGGGAUAUAGAUGGCCACACACAAGUGAGAGCUGUUGCCUGCCCCAGACAGACCUGAGAAGGCCCUAAUCUCUCAUUUCUUUCAGCAAAAGGUAAAUGAAUCUUAUGGGCUCAGAGGUUUAAGGAAACUUCUGUCCAAUGGUUAACUGACCACUAAGCUAAUAGAGCAGGGACUACAGUGGCUGUGCAUGACCAAGAGUAUAGAUUUUACAAAUUUAAUCCAGUAAAACAAAAACACACAGCAGUAGCGACAACAGCAGCAACAGUGACAAGCAACAACACAACUGGGAGGAGGGGAGAUCUGACUUCCACAGUUAAAAUGUCCAAUUUUCAACCAAAAUUAUAAGACCCUCAUGAAAUAGGGAAGUAUGACCCACGUAGGACAAAAGGCAGCCAAUGGAAACUGUCCCCAAGGAAGCAAAGAUGUUGGACAUGCUAGAUAAAGACUUUAAAUCAGCUACCAUAAAUAUCUUAAGAGAACUAAAAGAAACCAUGUCUAAAAACUAAAGGAAAGCAUGAGAACAAUGUCUCACCAAAUAGAGAAUAUUAAUAGACAUGAAAAUUAUAAGAG